RNAcentral lists this ribosomal RNA (488 nucleotides) under uncultured fungus. Its description in RNAcentral is "eukaryotic LSU rRNA". The stretch from base 106 to 258 matches the Rfam family "5.8S ribosomal RNA". Lineage: Eukaryota; Fungi. The record is from RNAcentral.
GGANGGGCNGAGGGUGGUUUCACCCNCUGGCCCGUACCCGCCGGUGGCCUCCAACCAAACUCUUGUCAAAAACGUGUCGUCUGAAGUACAAAACAAAUAAGCAAAAACUUUCAACAACGGAUCUCUUGGUUCUGGCAUCGAUGAAGAACGCAGCGAAAUGCGAUAAGUAAUGCGAAUUGCAGAAUCCGUGAGUCAUCGAAUCUUCGAACGCACAUUGCGCCCUUUGGUAUUCCGAAGGGCAUGCCUGUUCGAGCGUCAUUAUCACCCCUCAAGCCCCCGGCUUGGUGUUGGGCUUUCGGUGGUCGUCUCCGACCAUCGGCCUCAAAGAUAGUGAUGGCGUCCCAGAGGGAACCGGUACGAGGAGCUUUUACGAGCAUGUACACGGGACGACUCUGCGGGCGACGGUCUUUCUUAACUUUUAUAUAAGUGUUGACCUCGGAUCAGGUAGGAAUACCCGCUGAACUUAAGCAUAUCAAUAAGCGGAGGAA